RNAcentral lists this ribosomal RNA (399 nucleotides) under uncultured bacterium. RNAcentral describes it as "bacterial SSU rRNA". It matches the Rfam family "Bacterial small subunit ribosomal RNA", at positions 140 to 518 of the family's 1533-position model. The record is from RNAcentral.
AGGAUAACGACUAGGAAACGGUCGCUAAAACUGGAUAGGAUCAUUUGAGGCAUCUCGGAAUGAUUUAAAGGGGCUUUCAAGCCACACUUAGAGAAAGGCCUGCGGCGCAUUAGCUAGUUAGGUGGGGUAGAGGCCUACCAAGGCGAUGAUGCGUAGCCGGACUGAGAGGUCGAACGGCCACGAUUGGGACUGAGACACGGCCCAAACUCCUACGGGAGGCAGCAGUAGGGAAUUUUCGGCAAUGGGGGAAACCCUGACCGAGCAACGCCGCGUGAAUGAAAGACGUAUUUCGGUAUGUAAAGUUCUUUUAUUAAGGAAGAAUAUUCACGGAUAAGGAAAUGAUCUGUGAGUGACGGUACUUAAUGAAUAAGCCCCGGCUAACUAUGUGCCAGCCGCCGC